GGAAGUAAAAGUCGUAACAAGGUUUCCGAAGGUGAACCUGCGGAAGGAUCAUUAUCGAGUUUUGAACGGGUUGUAGCUGGCCUCUCACGAGGCAUGUGCACGCCUGGCUCAUCCACUCUUAACCUCUGUGCACUUUAUGUAAGAGAAAAAAAUGGUGGAGGCUUCCAGGAUCUCGCGAGAGGUCUUCGGUUGAACAAGCCGUUUUUCUUUCUUAUGUUUUACUACAAACGCUUCAGUUAUAGAAUGUCAACUGUGUAUAACACAUUUAUAUACAACUUUCAGCAACGGAUCUCUUGGCUCUCGCAUCGAUGAAGAACGCAGCGAAAUGCGAUAAGUAAUGUGAAUUGCAGUAUUCAGUGAAUCAUCGAAUCUUUGAACGCACCUUGCACUCCUUGGUAUUCCGAGGAGUAUGCCUGUUUGAGUCUCAUGGUAUUCUCAACCCCUAAAUUUUUGUAAUGAAGGUUUAGUGGGCUUGGACUUGGAGGUUGUGUCGGCCCUUGUCGGUCGACUCCUCUGAAAUGCAUUAGCGUGAAUCUUACGGAUCGCCUUCAGUGUGAUAAUUAUCUGCGCUGUGGUGUUGAAGUAUUUAUGGUGUUCAUGCUUCGAACCGUCUCCUUGCCGAGACAAUCAUUUGACAAUCUGAGCUCAAAUCAGGUAGGACUACCCGCUGAACUUAAGCAUAUCAAUAAGCGGAGGA
Molecule: ribosomal RNA, 697 nt
Filed under: Irpex lacteus
Lineage: Eukaryota; Fungi; Basidiomycota; Agaricomycetes; Polyporales; Irpicaceae
Description: eukaryotic LSU rRNA
Rfam family: 5.8S ribosomal RNA (bases 274-427)
Source: RNAcentral